This 195-nucleotide ribosomal RNA is filed under the name uncultured bacterium. RNAcentral's name for it is "partial 16S ribosomal RNA". It matches the Rfam family "Bacterial small subunit ribosomal RNA", at positions 326 to 539 of the family's 1533-position model. The record is from RNAcentral.
ACGCUCGACACCUACAGGCAGCAGUGGGGAAUAUUGCACAAUGGGGGAAACCCUGAUGCAGCGACGCCGCGUGAGCGAAGAAGUAUUUCGGUAUGUAAAGCUCUAUCAGCAGGGAAGAAACUGACGGUACCUGACUAAGAAGCACCGGCUAAAUACGUGCCNGCAGCCGCGGUAAUCUGAGCGGGCUGGCAAGGC